AUCGGGGUUGCGGACAGUGUCUGGUGGGUAGUUUGACUGGGGCGGUCUCCUCCCAAAGAGUAACGGAGGAGCACGAAGGUUAGCUAAUCCUGGUCGGACAUCAGGAGGUUAGUGCAAUGGCAUAAGCUAGCUUGACUGCGAGCGUGACGGCGCGAGCAGGUGCGAAAGCAGGUCAUAGUGAUCCGGUGGUUCUGAAUGGAAGGGCCAUCGCUCAACGGAUAAAAGGUACUCCGGGGAUAACAGGCUGAUACCGCCCAAGAGUUCAUAUCGACGGCGGUGUUUGGCACCUCGAUGUCGGCUCAUCACAUCCUGGGGCUGAAGUAGGUCCCAAGGGUAUGGCUGUUCGCCAUUUAAAGUGGUACGCGAGCUGGGUUUAGAACGUCGUGAGACAGUUCGGUCCCUAUCUGCCGUGGGCGCUGGAGAAUUGAGGGGGGCUGCUCCUAGUACGAGAGGACCGGAGUGGACGCAUCACUGGUGUUCGGGUUGUCAUGCCAAUGGCACUGCCCGGUAGCUAAAUGCGGAAGAGAUAAGUGCUGAAAGCAUCUAAGCACGAAACUUGCCCCGAGAUGAGUUCUCCCUGAGACUAUAAGUCUCCUGAAGGAACGUUGAAGACGACGACGUUGAUAGGCCGGGUGUGUAAGCGCAGCGAUGCGUUGAGCUAACCGGUACUAAUGAACCGUGAGGCUUAACCUUACAACGCCGAAGCUGUU
This 710-nucleotide ribosomal RNA is filed under the name Klebsiella variicola. RNAcentral describes it as "partial 23S ribosomal RNA". It matches the Rfam family "Bacterial large subunit ribosomal RNA", at positions 2238 to 2925 of the family's 2925-position model. The record is from RNAcentral. Lineage: Bacteria; Pseudomonadati; Pseudomonadota; Gammaproteobacteria; Enterobacterales; Enterobacteriaceae.